RNAcentral lists this ribosomal RNA (429 nucleotides) under uncultured bacterium. RNAcentral describes it as "bacterial SSU rRNA". It matches the Rfam family "Bacterial small subunit ribosomal RNA", at positions 917 to 1359 of the family's 1533-position model. The record is from RNAcentral.
GGACCCGCACAAGCGGUGGAGCGUGUUCUUUAAUUCGAAGCUAAACGAAGAACCUUACCGAGGCUUGACAUCCUAGGAAUUUUCCCGAAAGGGAAGAGUGCCUUUUGGAGCCUAGUGACAGGUGCUGCAUGGCCGUCGUCAGCUCGUGUCGUGAGAUGUUUGGUUAAGUCCAUCAACGAGCGCAACCCUUAUCGUUAGUUGUAUUUUUCUAGCGAGACUGCCCUUGUAAGAGGGAGGAAGGAGGGGAUGAUGUCAGGUCAGUAUUGCCCUUACGCCUCGGGCCAGAAACGCGCUACAAUGGCCGAUACAACGGGCAGCGAAACAGUAAUGUGAAGCAAAUCCCAUCAAAAAUCGGUCCCAGUUCGGAUUGAGGGCUGAAACUCGCCCUCAUGAAGUUGGAAUCGCUAGUAAUCGCAAGUCAGCAAAUUG